AGCAGCCGCGGUAAUUCCAGCUCCAAUAGCGUAUAUUAAAGUUGUUGCAGUUAAAAAGCUCGUAGUUGAAUUUCGGGAUCAGUACGCUGGUCGUGCCUUGUGUAUGUACUGGUGUUACUGGUUCCUACCUUCUGAAGAACCGUCAUGUCAUUAAUUUGGUGCGGCGGGGAAUCAGGACUGUUACUUUGAAAAAAUUAGAGUGUUUAAAGCAGGCUCGCGCUUGAAUACAUUAGCAUGGAAUAAUGAAAUAGGACGUUUGAUCCUAUUUUGUUGGUUUCUAGGAUUGACGUAAUGAUUAAUAGGGAUAGUUGGGGGCAUUAGUAUUCAAUUGUCAGAGGUGAAAUUCUUGGAUUUAUUGAAGACUAACUACUGCGAAAGCAUUUGCCAAGGAUGUUUUCAUUAAUCAAGAACGAAAGUUAGGGGAUCGAAGACGAUCAGAUACCGUCGUAGUCUUAACCAUAAACUAUGCCGACUAGGGAUCGGAUGAUGUAUUUUAAUGA
Molecule: small RNA, 500 nt
Filed under: uncultured Glomus
Lineage: Eukaryota; Fungi; Glomeromycota; Glomeromycetes; Glomerales; Glomeraceae
Description: SSU rRNA
Rfam family: Eukaryotic small subunit ribosomal RNA
Source: RNAcentral